Gasterosteus aculeatus aculeatus (three-spined stickleback) is the source of this 6938-nucleotide long non-coding RNA. The record is from Ensembl. NCBI's taxonomy places the organism in Eukaryota, Metazoa, Chordata, Actinopteri, Perciformes, Gasterosteidae.
UAUUAGAGCUGUCAACAUUAAUGCACGUUUGUUUGUUUAGUUCCGGAAGUUGACUCGCUAGCUGCAGUCAAUAACAUCAAGAUAGAGAGAGGUUUUUGCAUUGGAAGUAAAAUAAACAGUGGUGCGACAUACAGCAAACAGAAGGGGGGUGAGUUGCAAACUAGUGAGUAUGCUAAGCUAGCUGCUAGGCUACUUCCAUCUCAACAUCUAACGUUACCCUGCGUGGCACAGUCUGCAGAGUACCACCUCUCUGGUUAAAUGUGGGGAGAUUGUUGGCACUUCAAACACAGCAAGUCGCUAGUUCAACAUGUUCCACCAGGUGGAAUUCUGUCAAAUGUGUGUACAGUAGUUUUGUGUUAAUAACUAAAAUAACUAAAGUUAUAAAAAUGAAUCAUGGCUGCAUUACUGAAUGCUGAAUUAAUGAAUGCGUUAAACGCAAAAUCGAAGCACUAACAUGUUCAGCAUUAGAAUUUACACAAAAUGAAACAGUUCUUAUAAAUAUCUGUUUCCAGGAACUAAUGAAUACAGGAUGUCGAAUGUGGCAGAGACUGCAAGACUAUAAAUGCCAUGGCAACAGCACACACCAGGUCGUCUUGGAAGCAAGGUUGAGAGCAAUACCCGUCUGUAUUCACCACGCCAUUUAAUCUGAAUAACACUUCAGAAUGCUGAAAAACUGAAAACAACAGAAAUAUCUAACAAAGAGAAGCCAAAACACUUCAAUCUUCAACUGAAACAACUAACAUGGAGCCUGAAAGCAUUAACAACACCUCUCUUUUCUACUGUGGUGGGAGAGAAAGAUCAAGUCUCCUGUUGACUUUAUUGCCACUGUAUCACACGUUGACACACUUCUUAGAGGGUAGGGGGGUUAGCUCUUUGUUCUGAGAGUUACUGCAGCUUUGUGUUGAAGGUGAGGAAUAGGGUCGCUGACUUUCUUAGUCAAUCCGCGUCUGAAUACAGGCCAGACCUCUUUGCUCCGCUCGUUCAAUCUUAUUACUUUGAAUAUCAAGACGCUCUUUGCCAGGAUAUGGAAGAAAAAAAAAACACUCGUUUGAAAAAGAAAUGGGGACAUCAUGGAUGUCAUGGAUAGGAAGUUCAAUCAUCGAUGCUGGGUUUGUAUCUGCCAGAUGCAAAAUGUUAUUGUGUUUGAAUGACUGGGAACAAAAUGGGGAGACGGUGUGAUGUUCACGGUGGAACUACGCCACCUGUUGAUAUACACGACACGUGAGUAAGGCAACAGUAACCGUGUAUGUAAGAGCCGGGGAAUAAAUGCCCGUGGGUAUUGAUCAAGCUGUGAUUCGUCUGGUGUUUAAACGUACUACAGAAACACUACAGACGUGACUAAAGCUAACUAACUCCUGCAAUUUGUGAUUGCAUAUGAACACCGUAUUAGUUAUGGUAAUGCAUACAUUCAGGGCCUAGUGUACUGACUGGGUUAAUUCAAAAAUGUGAAGCAUCACAAAGCAACACAUGCCGGUUAUUUCUACACGGCUAAGGAUAAAUUCUUUUAAUGUUGCUCGACAUUCAUCAGCUUGUGAACAUGAACCAUGGAAUUCCAUUGAAAAGGUGCAGCUAGCUGCCGCCAUAUGAAUGAAGACAACAGCAGCAGUUAUUUUUUUUAAAUAUUAAGUUAUAUAAAGUUUUUGUGGGAGGGGUGGACAGCAAAUUCCAGCUGCCUUUGAACAGACAAUUGCCUGCUGUUCGUUGUUUUAGCCUUUUAUCCUUGAAUUAAAUCAAUCAAGUUUAAUUCUUAAAAUGCAACAUGAGUUUUUUUUCAAAUCCCCAUAAACGUCAACUUUCAAAUCCUUCCAGCAACAGCCAAAAUUUAAACUUUAAAAUGUUGACUAUAUUUUUUAGAAAUUCGGCUACUCAACUUUUUUAAUGUCACUGAUUAUGUUUCAUGAGUUUUUCAGACCAAAUCUUUACAUGAGUGAAUAUGGGGAAGGUUAGAGUGGAGACUGAAAAGCUAGAGUGGAGAGCAGCUUCAGAAUCUGUUUUUAUUGGAUCCAAAAAAAUAGUUCUGGUUCUAAUUGCCACAAUUGUCACUGUUCAUGCUUCAUUUCUGGAUCAAAUGAUAGAAGUUUGUGCUGGUCGUAAACAUGUGGCUAUGGAAUCCAGUAGACGUAUACUUUUGGCCACAGAACCCUGAGAGUGAAACAAAGUCCAACUCUCGCUCGAUAGAGUCCAAUGGCAAUCUGGUGGCAAAUUUUUUAGAGAAAGCAGAAGGUGCAAGUUUUUGAAACUGCCAGAGGGCUUUUCUGACCACAGAGACAUGUAAAAGGUGUUAUGAUGCGCAAACGGACCCAAAUGCAACACGCAGGACCACCAAGGUUUCUCCUAAUCCAACAGGUGAAUUUAUUUCCUCCGGCAGGACAAAAAAACAGCAACAAGAGACACAAGUCAAUUGUGAAUGGCUGAAAAAAGAAACAAGUCAGAAUGGCCACGUGAUGACCGCGGCGCCCGUGCGCUCCGAUCCGUAAUCACUCGGAAGGGUGAUUAUGCCGCUGCGUGGCAGAGGAGCUCGACUGUGUGACACCAGAGGCUCGACACAGAAGUUGGUAGGUGCACAGCUGAUCUCCGUGGAACGAGCUGGCGACCUCUUCGGCCAGGUGAAUACCAGAGGUUCGACGCUGGACGGCAAGAGUGAAAAACCAAGCGGUUAUUGCAGAAUCACAAAGGACUGAAACAAUGUAACUCACGGCGCCGAGAUACCGGGAUGGUUUAACAGACGGACUGACAGCUGGGGCGAAGAAAGCCGGAGUAUUUAUGUCAGCUGGGAUAUUGGUGAAGAUGUGACACAGCUGUGUCAAUGAAGGAGGCGUGGCACUGGGCGGGACUCUGAGGACACUACUGGGGACACACAUCAACAUGAGGAGAGAAUAUAGGGGAAAAACACCAGGGUUAGACAGGAAUCCUCACAAAAGGAUGUUUCUGCGUUCAGCCUCUCGGGUAUCUCAUACAUCCAGAUUUUGGGGAUUGGGUGUAUUGUUUGGCGGUUACGUCCAAUGAUUUGAGGUUUGUAUUGUAGGUAAAUCUCUGUUAUUCUCUCUGCCCUAUGAUCAGCUCGUUAAUGAUCGCAGUAGCACCAUAACUGUGGUAACCACAGACACGCGCCACUCUCACACAGGUGAAUGGUUUGAAAUAAUAAAUGGAGUUAGUAUGCAGUCAACAAAUCAACAUCUUGCAGACACCUCGUUUGUCCCCCCCUCCAUCUACUUCCUCCUCACUCUUAAUCACUCACUCAUUAACCCUUUCUCCCCGAACCAAUCCUGUCAUUUUAAAAUAAAACUGCUUGUGAUUUGGCCUAUCAAUUAAUAACUUCUUAGUUUGAAGGAGAAACAUUGUCAUUCCCGUCUCUUCCUCACCCAAUCCCAUCAUUUUUAAAUAAACGCCUUAAUGAUUAUCUAUACUUUAACCAUGACACUCAGAGUGAAGCUGUUUGGUUGAAGUAUUUUUUGCUCUUUUAAAUACUGCUACAACUAAUAUUACUACAACUACUACUGGUAGUACUACUACAAUUAUUACUGUUAAUCCUAUUACGAACACUGAACUCGUACUAUUACUAUUAGUAGUAGUGACACUGUAAUUGAUAUUACUACUCUUACUAUUAUAAAAGGUACAACUAGUAUUUAUAGAGCUAUAAAUAAACUAAUAUGACUUAAUACUACUGUGACUAACUAACACUACUACUACUAGUAUUUCAACUGCUAUCUAUACUAAAACUACCACUACUUCUUAUACUGCUUGUAUUAUCCGUACACAUUACUACCAUAACUAAUACUACUACUAAUAUUACUACAAAUACAUAGCCAGCCAAUUCAUUUAAACUUCUCAUUUCUGUAUUAUCAGCAAAUUUUUUAAAUUCAAUUAAACUUUUUUCGUUUCUGUAUUUUCAGCAAUUUUUUUAAUUUACCUUUUACCUACAAACAUUUUCUGCGGCAGUUUCCUUUACAACAUUGGUGAUGCGGAGAAUAUUAGUAAAGCUGCUGUAUGCAGAGCCGUGAGAAAAGUGCCUCGCACUGAAACGUCUUUUAAAUGUUUUUUUUCCCUUGUUUUUGGCGGGAGGUCUUAGUCCUGAUGGACCUCAGCCUCCUCCCAGAUGGAAGCAACCAGUCCUUCUAUUACAACCUUUAUUCACACUGAAAUACCACUUCUGUUAAUGAAAGUGCAAAAACAAAGACUUAUCCAAGAAUACCUUCUGCUCUGUAUACAAGGUGAACUUAAAUAACUGAUUUUUACUUAAUUUCUUUGUAUUAGUAUGUAUUUAUUAUUCUUUAAUUAAAAUCAAUGUCUUAACUACAGAAUCAUCACUGAUUACUGCCAGACCAUUACUGAUUGGCCAAACAGACAAGAGACCGGAAUCUCCAUACUUCCACAAACUGCACCCCAUGCCUUUUUUAAAAUAUUUCCUGCCCAUCACUACCUUCUUAACAAUUACGCAACAAAUGUAAUGAAGGAGCUAGAAAAAACGUUUAAAACUGUUAGGUUUAUUCCGUUUUUGUUCACAGUUCUAAUUCAUUUCAUCCAGCAAUUCUAUAAUUCUGUUUUGGCCAGUUCAGUUGGAUAUACCGACCUUUCCCUUUGGCAGUGAGCUUAUUCAAAUGCUGCUUUCAACAUUAAGCUUUCAAAAUCCUGCACUGAUCCUGCACUAAAAUCCAAGAUUUUGGAAAAUUAGAAGAGCAUCUUUGUCAACACUGCCCAUCCCUCACAAACUCAAAUGGAAUAGGACGCUGAGGCCCUGGUUACAAAGCACCUGUGUUUGAGGCACCCACUUACCUCCAGUGGUGGGUUAUGGUUGGCACAACAGCCUGCAGGACAAGUCUGGGAAUUACAAAGCCACGGUCAGACACCUCUAACUAUCAGUGAUAAAUGUCAACCGCCUGAAGAGAAAAUCAGCUGCAGACAACUCCAGCAAAAAUAUUGAAAAAAGCAAACAUAUUUGAGGUAAACCUCGUGUUCUUUUUUUCUUGCUCCCUGUCUAAUAAUUUCUUCUCUGUAUCUAGUGAUGUUUCUGCAUCUUUGUCUUGUUCACCCUCCCCGAUUGGAUAAGAAUUUUGGACGUUCACACUGAAGCCAAUACAAUCUGCAAUGCGGAAGGGAAGAAACUGAAUGAGCCACAUACUAACAGUUUAGCAGUUAACUUUGUUUUGUUGCCCAUACUUAUAUGUCGUAAUUUAAUUUUGCUGAUAGCUGUUUUAUUUUGUCUUUUAUAUUUCACAGAUUUUUGACGAUGACAAUGCUGGAGCUGGUCAAGAGGACAUUACUACAUUGUGUGUGUGUGUGUGUGUGUGUGUGUAUAUAUGUAUGGGGAUGUUAUUGUGCAUUUGGAUGAGAAUUUUUAUUAGUUAUGUGGCUCACAGUUGACAGUCCCUGAGCAAGAGGUAUAACUCACGUAGCUCAUUAUUUUUAAUUAAGCUACAGCGCUUCUGUCUAAUCUCACCAGCUCUGCGUGCAUUUUCUAUGUUCUGUUCUGCUGCACUGCACUGCUGUAAAACAAUUACAUCAAUGUAACAUUCAGUUUGUCUUCUACAGCCAAUGAUUAUAACUAACAUGUCUGUGUAUGUAUUUGGUAAAUGCCUACAUAAUUCAUAAGCCAUUGAAUGUGUUGAAUAAUAUUCUUACAAAUGUCAAUGAAUGCAUUUAUUUGGCAAAGACUGGAGCUCAGAGGGUCACAUUUUGAUUUAUUUCAAUAAUAUAUCCUGUGUACUUCUGUGUGUCCUGUCACUGACACAGAAGGUGGUUGAAAGACAUCAUUCUGAAUGCUUGUGUGGUAGAUGGCAUGAGUAAUCUCUCAAGAUGUCAGUGAGGUAAUUUUAUUUUUCUCUCAACCACCAAAAGUUUGCCAUUAGGCAAUCAUGCUGCGUCAGGAUUUCUUCGCCUCCAAAGGAUUUCUGCAUUUUAUCGCACCUAAUACAUAUUCAAAUAGAAUGCAAGAUCUCAGUAAUAGUAAUGGCAUGCCAUAAAAUGAUCGGAUAGCAUUUACAGUGUCUGUGUGUGUUUUCUCUGUUGUGUUCACUUAGAAUCCCACAAUAAAUGCAGUAGUCGCUCCAAAACAUCUCACGCAUACUGUAUUGUUUCAUUGCAUUUGGAGUCCCAGGUGAUAGCAUUAAUAAUGUAAAGACUAGCGGGAAAUCAAUUCAUGGAUAAUUAUGAACGCUUGCAGACAGCUGAAAAUAUUUGUGCUGGCAAAACAAUUCCAAGGGCUUUAUUCAAUACGUAUUAGGCAUUUUGAGGGGAAAGGUGAUUUUGUGUGUUCAAAUACAUAUUCAUUUACAAUAAUUUAUUUAUAUGUAUAUAUAUAUAUAUAUAUAUAUAUAUAUAUUCAUAAUAAAAAUUCAAAUGUACAACAGAACACAGCAGUUAGAUGUGGCAAAGUACUUUGAGCACAGCUGUGUGUUCGGUGUUCCUCCAUUCGAUAGAGUUGUUUUAUUAAGCAGUUUGAAUGGCAGUGUUACUGCGCAGAGGCGCAGAGAGCAGGAGUGCAAUAGGUCAGAGGAAGAGAGGGGGGCUAGUGGUUAGAGGAGUUCAUCAAGGUUGAGAGACAGGCUGGCGGCCAACAAAGGGUCACCUUAACCUUGUAGAGGACAUACAUGUAGGGGAGGAGGACAUGGGGAGCAUUGUGUUCAAAACUUCAAGAAACUAGUUAUGAGGGACACACUCAGACGAGGGCGAGGUAGGGGAUUCAGGUCCCCCCAAUAUGAUGUUCCAUGAAUGUAUACAAUUUAGUAUUCUACAAAAAAUAAAGCUGUGUGAGACAGCUAGCCACGUGUAAAACUAGAUAAAGAUCUUGUUAGUCUUGUGCCUUUGCCAACGAGCUUUACAUCAAUCUUCUUGUCUACUCAAUUUUCAUGAUGAUUUUUAAUGAAGCCGGCUAGUUUACAUGGUAGACUCCAGUCUGUGCAUUUACACUUUACUCAAUGUGACCAACCAACAGUAAAAAU